This 305-nucleotide ribosomal RNA is filed under the name uncultured bacterium. RNAcentral's name for it is "partial 16S ribosomal RNA". It matches the Rfam family "Bacterial small subunit ribosomal RNA", at positions 505 to 807 of the family's 1533-position model. The record is from RNAcentral.
ACAGCAGCAGCCGCGGUAAUACGUAGGGCGCGAGCGUUACCCGGAUUUACUGGGCGUAAAGGGCGUGUAGGCGGCCUGGGGCGUCCCAUGUGAAAGGCCACGGCUCAACCGUGGAGGAGCGUGGGAUACGCUCAGGCUAGAGGGUGGGAGAGGGUGGUGGAAUUCCCGGAGUAGCGGUGAAAUGCGCAGAUACCGGGAGGAACGCCGAUGGCGAAGGCAGCCACCUGGUCCACUUCUGACGCUGAGGCGCGAAAGCGUGGGGAGCGAACAGGAUUAGAUACCCCAGUAGUCCCUGUCUCUUAUAC